GACGAACGCUGGCGGCGUGCCUAAUACAUGCAAGUAGAACGCUGAAGCUUGGUGCUUGCACCGAGCGGAUGAGUUGCGAACGGGUGAGUAACGCGUAGGUAACCUGCCUGGUAGCGGGGGAUAACUAUUGGAAACGAUAGCUAAUACCGCAUAACAGUAGAUAUCGCAUGAUAGCUACUUGAAAGGUGCAAAUGCACCACUACCAGAUGGACCUGCGUUGUAUUAGCUAGUUGGUGAGGUAACGGCUCACCAAGGCAACGAUACAUAGCCGACCUGAGAGGGUGAUCGGCCACACUGGGACUGAGACACGGCCCAGACUCCUACGGGAGGCAGCAGUAGGGAAUCUUCGGCAAUGGACGGAAGUCUGACCGAGCAACGCCGCGUGAGUGAAGAAGGUUGUCGGAUCGUAAAGCUCGGUUGUAAGAGAAGAACGAGGGUGAGAGUGGAAAGUUCACAAUGUGACGGUAUCUUACCAGAAAGGGACGGCUAACUACGUG
Molecule: ribosomal RNA, 497 nt
Filed under: uncultured bacterium
Lineage: Bacteria
Description: partial 16S ribosomal RNA
Rfam family: Bacterial small subunit ribosomal RNA
Source: RNAcentral